AUGGUCCAACUACAGAACUUCUUCUUUUUCAUUACUUCCAUGGUCGUGCCCCGUGGCACGGCAGCACCCGUACUAUUGAAAUGGUUCGUCAGUAGAGAUGUUCCCACUGGUGCCUCUUCUUCCAAUGGUACUAUAAUUCCUAUUCCUAUCCCUUUAUUCCCUUUUUUGGUCUAUCUACAUUUAAGGAAAUUCAUACGCUCCAUGGACAGAGCAAAAAGUGGAGUGUUGGUCAAAGCAAGCCGCCCUAUUCUAUUACCAGACAAAAUGGAGAGAAGCUCAUCCGCUAGAAAUGCUUUAUUUCGUUUCGUUCCCGUUCUUCAUUUCCUUAUUAUCGAAUCCAUGGGGGACUUGUCAUAUUUAGAAUCUUUCUGCGGUCUGCUCUAUUUACAAUUCUUUCGUACUCUCUUCUCUUUACCAUGCGAUAGGUCAGCGAAGCGUGAGCGGGCGCUCCGAAGUAAAGGCCAAACACUUCGGCCUAAGGGGAAUGAGCAACAAAAUGACAAGAUGAGGUGCCCCGGGCACCCCCAUAUAGAAAGAAGGGUCGAAGGUUUUGGGCCUGUAGCUUUCCCCGCCCCCCCCCUCGUCGAGUGGUGCUUGUUUGCGGGGUGUGCCACCAGAAAGCGGGCUUGA
Molecule: ribosomal RNA, 630 nt
Filed under: Triticum aestivum (bread wheat)
Lineage: Eukaryota; Viridiplantae; Streptophyta; Magnoliopsida; Poales; Poaceae
Description: partial small subunit ribosomal RNA
Source: RNAcentral